This 112-nucleotide non-coding RNA is filed under the name Mesobacillus subterraneus. RNAcentral describes it as "Bacillus subterraneus TPP sequence". It matches the Rfam family "TPP riboswitch aptamer (THI element)". Rfam says of the family: Vitamin B(1) in its active form thiamin pyrophosphate (TPP) is an essential coenzyme that is synthesised by coupling of pyrimidine and thiazole moieties in bacteria. The previously detected thiamin-regulatory element, thi box was extended, resulting in a new, highly conserved RNA secondary structure, the THI element, which is widely distributed in eubacteria and also occurs in some archaea. Analysis of operon structures identified a large number of new candidate thiamin-regulated genes, mostly transporters, in various prokaryotic organisms. The record is from Rfam by way of RNAcentral. Lineage: Bacteria; Bacillati; Bacillota; Bacilli; Caryophanales; Bacillaceae.
AAAUCGUAAAAGGGGAGCUUGUGAAAUCAGGCUGAGAGGAUAGCUAGUUUGCUGUCGACCAUUUGACCUGAUCUGGGUAAUGCCAGCGGAGGGAAUAUGUCUUAUUACAUAU